GAGCUUUAAAUUUAAUUCGUCGGUAAAAUCAGCAUAUACUAAACAACCGUAGUCAAAGUGGGGAAAGAUUAGACUUUUAACCAAAAUUAUCCGAGUGGAAGUAGAUGUUCUGAACCUGUUUCUUCCAGGAUAAGGUACGAUUAAGGAAAUAUCCCGGAUCUUUAAACACUUCCGAGAAAGGGAUAAUGAGACUCUCAAUAUAAAGUGGUGGAAAUGAUGCCAGAGUUUCAAGCGACAGAGAUGAGAUAGCUCUGACAACAAUUGCCUGAGUUUUGCCCGGGUUAAGAGUGCGAUCCAGGAGGCAGCUUUAUUUAAUUCUUUAGGGACGUGUAGCGGUGAAAAUUGGUUAAAUGCAAUGACUAGAUAAUUAGAGCGUCAAUUUUAUUAUUUAUAUCUAUAACUAGUAAUAUUUUUGCCCAAUCAUACGUCAUCAGGUGUUCGUGGAAAGUAUAUUCAUCAAUAUUAGAGAGAUUGCGAACCAGCCUUUGGGUUGGUAUUGAAUUUAAAUUAUAGGAAAAUUUUUAAAUAAUGUUAAUCAAGUCGUGGUUAUUGUGUAUAUACACGCCUGUCAACUGGCCGUCAGCUAGCAGAAAAAUCAUAAGAGUGAAAGAAAUAGAUGGUACUUUUCUUUUAAUUUUCGACUCUUUGUCUCUUUUAUGACUUUUCUGCUGGCUGGCGACCAGUAAACAGGCGUGUAAAUACACCAUUAGAGAGAAAAGGGACGGCAUGUUGUUCGUGGGAGAUAGUCUAUAAUCAUUAAGUCGAUACGAGAAGACUCUGUCAACUCUGUGGAAAAUAAUUGGCGACAUUCAGCGCACUCUGCGAUGGGCAGUCGAACUUCGCCGACCGUCCAUGCGUUGUGCAUGUAUAUUUAUACGUCUAUCCUUAGAUGUGUUGUAUCUCAAAAGAAUUAACCAAAAACGAAGAAAGAUAAAAUGAAGCAAAUUAUUAACGCAAAAUGAGAAAUAAGCGAUCAUUAGAAUUCUGUUUCUCAUUAUAUGUGUCUCAUUAACUUCAGUUUGCCCUUAUUUUUAUAAACGAAAUAAUUCCAU
Belonocnema kinseyi is the source of this 1052-nucleotide long non-coding RNA. RefSeq lists it as uncharacterized. The transcript is spliced from 3 exons. The record is from RefSeq and is a predicted model, not a curated record. NCBI's taxonomy places the organism in Eukaryota, Metazoa, Arthropoda, Insecta, Hymenoptera, Cynipidae.